AGUGCAUGGUGGGCUGCAGGCUGAGCCACCAGGCAGCUCUCUGCCCCCGGGCUUCUAAUCCAAGUAGCAGGAGCAUUUUGUCCGCCUCCUUCCAGAGAGCAGAUCCCGAACGCUCUCUGGUCUUCAGGCACCAUCUCGGCAUGAAUAACAAGUCUACGUGAGUCUACCGGCAGGAUCAGCGCUGCAGCCAUUCAGGGACGGGGGCAGCAGGGAACCUGCCCCGGCGGGCGUCACGUGGCCAAGGGCAGGCCGCAAGGUGCGUGGCGUCGGUGUGCAUAUGCCUUUCCCUUUAGAGACCAUCGCCUGAACAAAAUUCCUCCCCGGCUGUGCUUUUUCCUUCCUGAAGGCUGUUGUCUGCUGGAGAUCUGCCUGUGGGUGGAGAGUGACUUCUUUCACUUCUGAUCAGCGGCAAAGGAGACGUUGCUGUUUUGCUUGUUAAAAGGUUUUGUGUUCUCUUGAGAGUUGCAAAAAAGCGUUACAAUCCUCAUAUGCAAAUUCUAUAAGCUUUACUGUUCUCCUCAGGUGUGCAUGCCAAGUUUUCAUUAUGAAGGCUCCCUGCUGUGAAAAAAAGGAGCUGACCUGGAGGAGGAAGGAGACAUUGAUAGUAGAUUUACUCCUGGAGCCCCACAGCUUUAUACCUACAAACUGGCUGAGUCCUGAGAUGAGUGCUGCUUUUUAACUUUGCCUGCACAGUGGGAAAAGCUGCUGCCAGUUGGGUAUGGGCACCUGCAGGCAGCACUACUGUAUACUACCAAUGGGGUAAAGUAAGCCAAGUUUCUUCUCCAUGUAAAGUCUGAUUUCUUCAGAAAGAAAAUAAAAAUUGCACAAAGUACAGUACUGAUUCAAUAAAUAUUAUAUUCAAUCACAUGGCUGAAUCUGGUCAUCUCAGCUUGGAAAGAGUGUAAUGACUUCAGAAUCGGGAUAUACUGGUAGAAUCAGCAAAUCCAAAUAUCAGAAUCUUUGAAAUAUAGCGUACGCUCAGGAUAGAAUUUCAUUAUGAAGGUGGUGAUCAAACUCCUCCCUCAGUGCAAUGCGUCACCAGUGUCGUAUUAAAUGGAUAGUGAACACCUUUUUGCCAUAAUAGGCAUAAUAUAUCACUACUUGUCCAAGUCAAGUUG
This is a long non-coding RNA of Dromaius novaehollandiae (emu), 1118 nucleotides long. RefSeq lists it as uncharacterized. The record is from RefSeq and is a predicted model, not a curated record. NCBI's taxonomy places the organism in Eukaryota, Metazoa, Chordata, Aves, Casuariiformes, Dromaiidae. The transcript is spliced from 5 exons.